Molecule: ribosomal RNA, 484 nt
Filed under: uncultured bacterium
Lineage: Bacteria
Description: partial 16S ribosomal RNA
Rfam family: Bacterial small subunit ribosomal RNA
Source: RNAcentral
AUUGAACGCUGGCGGCAUGCUUUACACAUGCAAGUCGAACGGCAGCGCGGUCUUCGCCCUCUCUGCGGGUUGCGGACGGGUGGGUAGUUCAGCGGUACAUGCGCAUCUGUUUUUUAUAGGUGGGCGAAAUCGGGAAUAAUACCCCAUUCGCGCUUAGGGUGAAAGGGUGGAAUCUUCGGACCUCGCGCCAUUGGGGCUGUCGAUGGCAGAUUAGCGAGUUGGUGGGGUAAAGGCCUACCAAGGCGACGAUCUGUAGCUGGUCUGAGAGGAUGAUCAGCCACACUGGAACUGAGACACGGCCCAGACUCCUACGGGAGGCAGCAGUGGGGAAUUUUGGACAAUGGGCGCAAGCCUGAUCCAGCAAUGCCGCGUGUGUGAUGAAGGCCUUCGGGUUGUAAAGCACUUUUGGCGGGAAAGAAAAGCAGUGUGCUAAUACCCCGCUUUGCUGACGGUACCCGAAGAAUAAGCACCGGCUAACUACGUG